GUUCACCUCAGCAGCAACAUAUACUAAAACUAGAAUGAUAUGCAGAAGAUUAGCAUGGCCCCUGCACAAAGAUGACAGGCAAAUGCAUGCAGCAUUCUAUAGUGUU
This is a small nuclear RNA of Cricetulus griseus (Chinese hamster), 106 nucleotides long. Lineage: Eukaryota; Metazoa; Chordata; Mammalia; Rodentia; Cricetidae. The record is from Ensembl.